Sinocyclocheilus rhinocerous is the source of this 190-nucleotide long non-coding RNA. RefSeq lists it as uncharacterized. NCBI's taxonomy places the organism in Eukaryota, Metazoa, Chordata, Actinopteri, Cypriniformes, Cyprinidae. The transcript has 3 exons. The record is from RefSeq and is a predicted model, not a curated record.
CCGGAUAAACCUGGGAUGGAGCAGGGGAGGGUUGAGAUGUGGGUGGACAUGUUCCCGAAGGAUAUGCCUGCGCCUGGACCCGCUCUCGAUAUUUCACCAAGGAAGCCAAAGAAAUUUGAGCUCAGGGUGAUCGUGUGGAACACAGACGAAGUCGUUCUGGAAGACGAUGACAUUUUCACAGGGGAAAAAU